Molecule: non-coding RNA, 544 nt
Organism: Danio rerio (zebrafish)
Lineage: Eukaryota; Metazoa; Chordata; Actinopteri; Cypriniformes; Danionidae
Source: Ensembl
GAUUCAAGUACCUCUGUGGUGCGGAAGAGAGACGUGGCUCUGAGAUGCCUCAUUGAAUACAUGGGAGAGAGUGGGCAAAAGCUGAUCUCUGACUACUAUGGAAAAACAGAGAACAGUGUCUAUGAAGACUUGAAAAUGCGCAAUAUGCAGAUAUAUGUCUGCCGUGUUCCAGAUGUGGUGGGCAUCAUCAUUGAGGGCAUCCCUGUGCUUACUCGUCUUGGAAACCACGCCAGGGCUAUGAACUUGCAGUAUCCACCACAACUCAGCAAAACAUUUCAGGUGUUUCAAAGACAUUUUGUGGGACUUGACACACUGCGUCCAAAGUCUUCCUCCUGAUUCAUGACACAAAAACUUCUGAGUUAGUUAAUUAGUUGCCGCUCAGAGGUUCUGUUUCUUUGCUUCAUCACUAUUGUUCAAUGGACAGUUUGACUUGGAACAAUGUGGUAGUCACGCACCGACUUCUUCAGUUUCUGGAUAAGUCUGCAGCAAAUAUGGGCAUUUGAUUUGCUUUUGUAUAUAUGGGGCAAAGUUUGUUUUGUUAUGU